Long non-coding RNA from Paramisgurnus dabryanus, 1293 nucleotides. RefSeq lists it as uncharacterized. NCBI's taxonomy places the organism in Eukaryota, Metazoa, Chordata, Actinopteri, Cypriniformes, Cobitidae. The record is from RefSeq and is a predicted model, not a curated record.
AGAAGAAGAAGAAGAAGAAGAAGAAGAAGAAGAAGAAGAAGAAGAAGAAGAAGGAGAGCGAUGCUGUGCUAUGGAGAGCGGCAUAUUGUUUGUAAGAUGAUUCUUCACUAGAGGUUACAUUGAAGUCAGGCAAUGACAGGAAGGAUGGCUGGGGAUUCCAAGAUCUGAUAAAAAAAGUUACAUGAAGAUACUUGGACUACUCAUGGGACCAAAGAGCUGUAAGCAGAAUAAUUUGGAGUACAGUUUUCAAAUGAAAGGACGUUGGUCACCUCAGCAAAUACAAUUACACCAGCUCCAGUCUGGAUCCUGUCUCUAUCAGAUGACCCUACACAAAAGGAAAGUUGACAUCAGCCAUCACAAGGACUUCAAAACUGUUUUUCAAAGUGGAGCUUGUUAAGAGAUGAUUGGGCCAGCCCAGUGUCAGUAUGGAAAAUGAACCAAUGGGCCGCUGUCCCUGCUUUAUGGGCCGGUUGUUGGCCAAUUUAAAAAAAAUCGGUUACACUUUAUUUUGAUAGUCCACUUUAGACAUUCUACUAACUAUAAAUAACUUUGCAACUACAUGUCAACUAACUUUCAAUAAUUUGCAACUAUACGUCAACUAACUGUCAUUAGAGUAUUAGUAGAUGGUAAGGGUUAGGGAAGAGGUUUGGGUUAGUGGAAUAAGUUGACAUGCACCUGCAAAGAUACUUCUAGACAGUUGAAAGUCUGUUGAGAUAUCAUCGCAAUAAAGUGUUAGUAGAUAUUAAGCAGACAGUUGACUAAUUCUCUAAAGAUUGGUAGUUGAUAAGUAGUUGCAACGUUACUUAUAGUUAGUUAAAUGUCUAAAGUGGACUAUCGAAAUAAAGUGUUACCAAAAAAUCAUAUUAUAUUCACCGGCCCCCAAGGAUGUCGGCCCACCGGGCAUUUGCCCGGUAUGCCAGAUUUACAGUCCAGCCCUGGUUUUAACUAUGUAUCCCCUACAGUACUGACUGAUGAGUCAAAUUUAUGUCUUUAUCUGUCUUUGGGCUCAAUCUGACCCCAUCUAGGUUAUGAGUACUUAUACCACGGGCCUGUUGAAUGCUUUAUUCUGAUUGCAGGGUUCCUACAGGUUUCUUCAAGUUAAAUUCAAGUCUUUUUAAGACCUUUUUAAGACCAUUUAUAUAAAAAAUUAAUACCCAUUUCACGUCCCUACCAGCAAAGAAAAACUAAAAUACUUAAACUUGUGUUCAUUUAUUUUUCCGAUGUGAAAUGGGUAAAAAGAUUAUAAGCCAAGCAAGUGUGAAAUUUUUUUUUCAGUAGGCCAUAGAAAGUUUG